GGACUACAGGGGUAUCUAAUCCUGUUUGCUCCCCUAGCUUUCGUUCCUCAGCGUCAGUUGCGAUCCAGCGAGCCGCCUUCGCCACGGGUGUUCCUACAGAUAUCUACGCAUUUCACCGCUACACCUGUAAUUCCACUCGCCUCUCUCGCACUCUAGCACGGCAGUUUCGGCAGCAGACUCCAAGUUAAGCCUGGAGAUUUCACUACCGACUUGCCACACCGCCUACGAACCCUUUACGCCCAGUAAUUCCGAGCAACGCUGGCCCCCUACGUAUUACCGCGGCUGCUGGCAC
This 292-nucleotide ribosomal RNA is filed under the name uncultured Acidobacteriota bacterium. Its description in RNAcentral is "uncultured Acidobacteria bacterium partial 16S ribosomal RNA". The record is from RNAcentral. Lineage: Bacteria; Pseudomonadati; Acidobacteriota.